RNAcentral lists this ribosomal RNA (500 nucleotides) under uncultured bacterium. Its description in RNAcentral is "partial 16S ribosomal RNA". It matches the Rfam family "Bacterial small subunit ribosomal RNA", at positions 30 to 523 of the family's 1533-position model. The record is from RNAcentral.
AUUGAACGCUGGCGGCAUGCCUUACACAUGCAAGUCGAACGGCAGCACGGGAGCAAUCCUGGUGGCGAGUGGCGAACGGGUGAGUAAAGUAUCGGAACGUGCCCAGUCGUGGGGGAUAACGUAGCGAAAGUUACGCUAAUACCGCAUACGAUAUAUGGAUGAAAGCGGGGGAUCGCACGACAUCGCGCGAUUGGAGCGGCCGAUGUCAGAUUAGGUAGGUGGUGGGGUAAAGGCUCACCAAGCCGACGAUCUGUAGCUGGUCUGAGAGGACGACCAGCCACACUGGGACUGAGACACGGCCCAGACUCCUACGGGAGGCAGCAGUGGGGAAUUUUGGACAAUGGGCGAAAGCCUGAUCCAGCCAUGCCGCGUGCAGGAUGAAGGCCUUCGGGUUGUAAACUGCUUUUGUACGGAACGAAAAGGUUUGGCCUAAUAAGCUGAGCUCAUGACGGUACCGUAAGAAUAAGCACCGGCUAACUACGUGCCAGCCGCCGCAGUAA